UCAGGUUUAUAAAAGUAUUUAUUUCGUUAC
RNAcentral lists this non-coding RNA (30 nucleotides) under Rattus norvegicus (Norway rat). The record is from RNAcentral. Lineage: Eukaryota; Metazoa; Chordata; Mammalia; Rodentia; Muridae.